ACAUCCAGAGAAUUUAGCAGAGAUGCUUUAGUGCCUUCGGGAACUCUGAGACAGGUGCUGCAUGGCUGUCGUCAGCUCGUGUUGUGAAAUGUUGGGUUAAGUCCCGNAACGAGCGCAACCCUUAUCCUUUGUUGCCAGCACGUAAUGGUGGGAACUCAAAGGAGACUGCCGGUGAUAAACCGGAGGAAGGUGGGGAUGACGUCAAGUCAUCAUGGCCCUUACGAGUAGGGCUACACACGUGCUACAAUGGCGCAUACAAAGAGAAGCGACCUCGCGAGAGCAAGCGGACCUCAUAAAGUGCGUCGUAGUCCGGAUUGGAGCCUGCAACUCGACUCCAUGAAGUCGGAAUCGCUAGUAAUCGUAAAUCAGAAUGUUACGGUGAAUACGUUCCCGGGCCUUGUACACACCGCCCGUCACACCAUGGGAGUGGGUUGCAAAAGAAGUAGAUAGCUUAACCUUCGGGAGGGCGUUUACCACUUUGUGAUUCAUGACUGGGGUGAAGUCGUAACAAGGUAGGCGUAGUGCU
RNAcentral lists this ribosomal RNA (526 nucleotides) under uncultured bacterium. RNAcentral describes it as "bacterial SSU rRNA". It matches the Rfam family "Bacterial small subunit ribosomal RNA", at positions 984 to 1509 of the family's 1533-position model. The record is from RNAcentral.